GAUGAACGCUGGCGGCGUGCCUAAUACAUGCAAGUCGAGCGAACAGAUAAGGAGCUUGCUCCUUUGACGUUAGCGGCGGACGGGUGAGUAACACGUGGGUAACCUACCUAUAAGACUGGAAUAACUCCGGGAAACCGGGGCUAAUGCCGGAUAACAUUUAGAACCGCAUGGUUCUAAAGUGAAAGAUGGUUUUGCUAUCACUUAUAGAUGGACCCACGCCGUAUUAGCUAGUUGGUAAGGUAACGGCUUACCAAGGCAACGAUACGUAGCCGACCGGAGAGGGGGAUCGGCCACACUGGAACUGAGACACGGUCCAGACUCCUACGGGAGGCAGCAGUAGGGAAUAUUCCGCAAGGGGCGAAAGCCUGACGGAGCAACGCCGCGUGAGAGAUGAAGGUCUUCGGAUCGUAAAACUCUGUUAUUAGGGAAGAAAAAAUGUGUAAGUAACUGUGCACGUCUUGACGGUACCUAAUCAGAAAGCCACGGCUAACUACGUG
This 497-nucleotide ribosomal RNA is filed under the name uncultured bacterium. RNAcentral's name for it is "partial 16S ribosomal RNA". It matches the Rfam family "Bacterial small subunit ribosomal RNA", at positions 28 to 507 of the family's 1533-position model. The record is from RNAcentral.